AUGUAUAUUAUAGAAUUGCCGCCUCAUCCCAUAUGGGUUCCAUCUUCUCAUUCUCCUCCUCCUCAUAAAAAGACUGCUAUCUCUUCCCUCAAGUCUAGUGCUUUUCUUUCCCCCACUGUGGUUUCUGCAAAACGAACACCCACAAUUAGACCACUGAUCCCCUCAGUCACAGAAAAUUCAUUUUCUGAAACCUUCUCCACAUCUUCCACUGCAAAUCCUCUCUCUGAAACUUUUUCCACUGCAACUUCUUCCACUACUGAUACCACUACAUAUUCCUCUACUGAGUCUUUUGCUCAGCAAAUCAUGGCUACUUUCCCUCCAUAACUUUUAAUAAAUCUGUCACUACAAUUCUCUCUUCCACACCUGCAACAAAAUCUAUUUCUAAUGUAGCUCUCUCAAUUAAAUCUGAUGCUACGUACAUUAGCAAGCCUAUCACAAUAAUUUCUCCUGCUGUAAAUUUCACUAAACCUUCUGCAGUUUCCCCUUCUGAGCUUCCUCCCAAACUUCCAAUAGCAAUUCCACCUUUUGAAACUACCACCAGCUCUGUUGCACAAAUUCCUCUUGCUACAGGUUCAACCCAACCUAUUUCUGAUAACAGAAACAUUACUACAGCACCUAUUCUUCCCCUUACUCCUUUCUCAAUAACCCCUACUGUUAGUUCUGUCAAACAUUCUGUCUCAGCAUCUCAUCCUCCUUCUACUGCUGAUGGCCAUGGUAGCCUGCCUAAUGGAAGCACAGGUAAACAUGACAAAUAAAAAAUAUCUUUUAAUUUGAAUUCCAUAUACUGAAUUUGCUUUCAGUUUUUUAAACCAGAUUUUGGUUGUGUCUAAGCUAUCAUCUUCUAAUUACCAUGACAGCCUGACACAACUUUCAAAAUCUCUAUACUCAUUUUAGAAUAUGUUCUGAAUGCCUCUGGCUAUGAUGAGUGGUACCUCACGCUGCAGUAUUUUGUUAACUGUAGUAGUUAGGUUUUCGGGUUUUCUUCUGAUUUCCUUCUUUUUGCAGGCACCCAGUUGCUAAAAAUUCUAAAUAAUAGAUUAUUUAGCAUCACUUACGGUUCUUUCAUAAUGAAUAUAAAGUAUAGUCAAUGCUGACUAUUUGAAACCUCGCUCUAUAUUUUCUGAAGACUCUUAAGUAUUGCUAUCUGCAAAGUAGCUGUUAGGGAGAAAAAAGGCUCCGUUUCAUGUAACAUGCUUGUAUUUGUGGUAAGCUUUUUCAUUCAAGAGAACUGUUGUAAUUUUUCUGGUUACUUCAUUUCU
RNAcentral lists this long non-coding RNA (1259 nucleotides) under Meleagris gallopavo (turkey). RNAcentral's name for it is "lncRNA (ENSMGAG00000019969.1)". Lineage: Eukaryota; Metazoa; Chordata; Aves; Galliformes; Phasianidae. The record is from RNAcentral.